RNAcentral lists this ribosomal RNA (497 nucleotides) under uncultured bacterium. Its description in RNAcentral is "bacterial SSU rRNA". It matches the Rfam family "Bacterial small subunit ribosomal RNA", at positions 899 to 1397 of the family's 1533-position model. The record is from RNAcentral.
ACUCAAAUGAAUAGACGGGGGCCCGCACAAGCAGCGGAGCAUGUGGUUUAAUUCGAAGCAACGCGAAGAACCUUACCAAGGCUUGACAUCCCUUGACGCGCAUAGAAAUAUGCGUUCCCUUCGGGGCAAGGAGACAGGUGGUGCAUGGUUGUCGUCAGCUCGUGUCGUGAGAUGUUGGGUUAAGUCCCGCAACGAGCGCAACCCUUAUGACUAGUUGCCAGCACGUAAAGGUGGGAACUCUAGUCAGACCGCCGGGGAUAACUCGGAGGAAGGUGGGGAUGACGUCAAAUCAUCAUGCCCCUUAUGUCUUGGGCUACACACGUGCUACAAUGGCCGGUACAAAGAGCGGCGAACCCGCAAGGGUAAGCGAAUCUCAAAAAGCCGGUCUCAGUUCGGAUUGUGGGCUGCAACCCGCCCACAUGAAGUCGGAGUUGCUAGUAAUCGCGGAUCAGCAUGCCGCGGUGAAUGCGUUCCCGGGCCUUGCACACACCGCCCGU